This 298-nucleotide ribosomal RNA is filed under the name uncultured Staphylococcus sp. RNAcentral describes it as "partial 16S ribosomal RNA". It matches the Rfam family "Bacterial small subunit ribosomal RNA", at positions 505 to 802 of the family's 1533-position model. Lineage: Bacteria; Bacillati; Bacillota; Bacilli; Caryophanales; Staphylococcaceae. The record is from RNAcentral.
GUGCCAGCAGCCGCGGUAAUACGUAGGUGGCAAGCGUUAUCCGGAAUUAUUGGGUGUAAAGCGCGCGUAGGCGGUUUUUUAAGUCUGAUGUGAAAGCCCACGGCUCAACCGUGGAGGGUCAUUGGAAACUGGAAAACUUGAGUGCAGAAGAGGAAAGUGGAAUUCCAUGUGUAGCGGUGAAAUGCGCAGAGAUAUGGAGGAACACCAGUGGCGAAGGCGACUUUCUGGUCUGUAACUGACGCUGAUGUGCGAAAGCGUGGGGAUCAAACAGGAUUAGAUACCCUGGUAGUCAAGGGCG